GUGGGGAAUAUUGGACAAUGGGCGCAAGCCUGAUCCAGCAAUGCCGCGUGAGUGAUGAAGGCCUUAGGGUUGUAAAGCUCUUUCACCGGGGAAGAUAAUGACGGUACCCCCAGAAGAAGCCCCGGCUAACUCCGUGCCAGCAGCCGCGGUAAUACGGAGGGGGCUAGCGUUGUUCGGAAUUACUGGGCGUAAAGCGCACGUAGGCGGACCAGAAAGUCAGGGGUGAAAUCCCGGGGCUCAACCCCGGAACGGCCUUUGAAACUCCUGGUCUUGAGGUCGAGAGAGGUGAGUGGAAUUCCGAGUGUAGAGGUGAAAUUCGUAGAUAUUCGGAGGAACACCAGUGGCGAAGGCGGCUCACUGGCUCGAUACUGACGCUGAGGUGCGAAAGCGUGGGGAGCAAACAGGAUUAGAAACCCUUGUAGUCC
RNAcentral lists this ribosomal RNA (425 nucleotides) under uncultured bacterium. RNAcentral describes it as "partial 16S ribosomal RNA". It matches the Rfam family "Bacterial small subunit ribosomal RNA", at positions 354 to 796 of the family's 1533-position model. The record is from RNAcentral.